UUGCCUUCAUCUUUUUUCUCCUCGAUAUAAUUUGCUUGCUGGUUGAAGCAGCAAUCCUUCUUCAAAUGGCUGAACUUCUUGCAGUUGUGGCAUUGUGGCUUCUCCUUGAACCAACAAUCCUUCUCUUCAUGGCUACUCCUAUUACAAAUUCUGCACUUCUUUUGAGAGUUGUUACCUUCAAUUUUUCGAUCAUAACUUCC
Molecule: long non-coding RNA, 200 nt
Filed under: Elaeis guineensis (African oil palm)
Lineage: Eukaryota; Viridiplantae; Streptophyta; Magnoliopsida; Arecales; Arecaceae
Description: long non-coding RNA (EGUI_LNC030747)
Source: RNAcentral